UUGAAUUGUUGUUCCUGAAAUCUUGCUCAAUUCAAAUAUUAGAUUUAUCAUGUGGUGUAUGAACAUUGUAUGUUUGUUAAUUAUGUCUAAAUUUAGGAUUCAAAGGACUAAAGUCCAACAAUCUCCCCCCUUUUUGGCAUAAUUGACAAUUCAUACAAUUUUAACUUGAGCAUUUCAAAACAACAAGCAUAAGAGUAUUAU
This 201-nucleotide long non-coding RNA is filed under the name Cicer arietinum (chickpea). RNAcentral describes it as "long non-coding RNA (CARI_LNC003620)". The record is from RNAcentral. Lineage: Eukaryota; Viridiplantae; Streptophyta; Magnoliopsida; Fabales; Fabaceae.